Pipistrellus kuhlii (Kuhl's pipistrelle) is the source of this 1202-nucleotide long non-coding RNA. RefSeq lists it as uncharacterized. The transcript has 3 exons. The record is from RefSeq and is a predicted model, not a curated record. Lineage: Eukaryota; Metazoa; Chordata; Mammalia; Chiroptera; Vespertilionidae.
CGGGCCCUCACCCUGACCGGGCGGGUCUAACGCUGGGGCCCCUCCAGGUCCAGGUGUGCCCCCUGGAGGCAAGUCGGGGCAGUGCCCACCGGGCAAGGGCUCGGGUCUCGCCGGCCUCGUGUCCUCUGCUGGGACGUCCGCCUGCGUCCACGUGCUCUGCGCACUGGGGAGGGGGGGCGGCUCAGGACACACGUGCCUCACCCCUUCCUGGCCCCCCUCCCAGAAGGUGCUAGAAGAGCUGGUGAGGCCAGGUUGGGGGACACCCUGGGGCGUGCAGUGGGGAACCCCAGGGCCAGGCCUGUGGGGCGCAGUGAGCCCCCAGCAGCCCUGGGGCAGGGUCCCAGGGACUGGGUAUGGGCUCCUGCAGGGGCGAGGCAGACAGCGGGGAGCGGAACCCCUCCCCAUCCUGCACGUCCCCCUAGAAGCGAGGGUUUCAGUGCUGAGACUGAAAUGUCACAGCUGCCGGGCGGACAGGGGCAGCCGGCUGCCGUCUUGGUACCACCAGAGGCCCCUGGGGUGCAGCUCACCCGGGAGGGACGGGGACGGGGUGGGGGAGCAGGGGCUGCAUGCUCGGAGCUGCGUGAGCCGUCUGCUCCCCGCACACCGAGGGCCGCAGGCCUCCACCCACACAGCCCGGGGACAUUGGGGGUCGGCAGCCUCAGUGGGGGAGCAGGGGCUCCCUCAGGACCGCCCUUGAAAUGCGGGGCCCACGACCUGUGCAGACGUGUGUGCGUGAAGCCUUCGCACCAAGCGGAGCUCAGGCUGAACGCGACUCAGACCCAGACACUGGGAUGGGCUAAGAGUUGGCGGGCAGGGGAGGUGGGAGGGGCAGGACGGCACGGACAGGCACCGUGGACACACAGGGAUGUGGCGGGGGUGACAGGAGCGGCGAGCUGAUGGGGGCUGCGAGCACCCCACACGCCCCCCGUCUGCCCCCCCCCCCCCCCCGUCCCUUCCACAGGAGCCUCGGCCUCGGGCAGCACUGCUCAGGACGGGCCGAGGAGAGCCGGCUCCAGGGCCUGCGAGCAGAGGGCCGGGUGGGGUGCACUCUGCUGGGGGGUCAGGGAGGCAGGCCAGCCACCCCUCCUGGCCUCCAGGCCCAGGAACCAGCUGCAGAGGGACAGGCCGGGCUGCGCCCCCGUUUAGGUGGGGACGCGCUCCGGGUCCCGGGGGGCCGCUGGCAGCUGCCACCACCACGAGCA